GGCAGUUCUCGGGUGACGAACCCAGGAAUCGGGCUCCCUCCUUCCUUGUUCUGGGUGCAUCACCUUAGAACCAAA
MicroRNA precursor from Myotis lucifugus (little brown bat), 75 nucleotides. It matches the Rfam family "mir-9223 microRNA precursor family". NCBI's taxonomy places the organism in Eukaryota, Metazoa, Chordata, Mammalia, Chiroptera, Vespertilionidae. The record is from Rfam.